GGAACCUACGGGGCGCAGCAGUAGGGAAUCUUCCACAAUGGGCGAAAGCCUGAUGGAGCAACGCCGCGUGGGUGAAGAAGGUCUUCGGAUCGUAAAACCCUGUUGUUAGAGAAGAAAGUGCGUGAGAGUAACUGUUCACGUUUCGACGGAAUCUAACCAGAAAGCCACGGCUAACUACGUGCCAGCAGCAGCGGUAAUACGUAGGUGGCAAGCGUUAUCCGGAUUUAUUGGGCGUAAAGGGAACGCAGGCGGUAUUUUAAUGAU
RNAcentral lists this ribosomal RNA (264 nucleotides) under uncultured bacterium. Its description in RNAcentral is "partial 16S ribosomal RNA". It matches the Rfam family "Bacterial small subunit ribosomal RNA", at positions 334 to 590 of the family's 1533-position model. The record is from RNAcentral.